RNAcentral lists this unclassified non-coding RNA (378 nucleotides) under plant metagenome. RNAcentral describes it as "partial contains 5.8S ribosomal RNA, internal transcribed spacer 2, and large subunit ribosomal RNA". The stretch from base 1 to 105 matches the Rfam family "5.8S ribosomal RNA", at positions 50 to 154 of the family's 154-position model. The record is from RNAcentral.
GAAAUGCGAUAAGUAAUGUGAAUUGCAGAAUUCAGUGAAUCAUCGAAUCUUUGAACGCACCUUGCGCUCCUUGGUAUUCCUUGGAGCAUGCCUGUUUGAGUAUCAUGAAAUCUUCAAAGUAAAUCUUUUGUUAACUCAAUUGGUUUCUACUUUGGUAUUGGAGGUCUUUGCAGCUUCACACCUGCUCCUCUUUGUUCAUUAGCUGGAUCUCAGUGUUAUGCUUGGUUCCACUCGGCGUGAUAAGUUAUCUAUCGCUGAGGACACUGUAAAAGGUGGCCAAGGUAAAUGCAGAUGAACCGCUUCUAAUAGUCCAUUGACUCUGACUAUACUUUUAUGAUCUGAUCUCAAAUCAGGUAGGACUACCCGCUGAACUUAAGC